CCUCCUAUACUUAUUUUUGUCCUCCGUUUUUCUGUUGUAUACUUUGUGCCUUCUCUUUGUUUGCCGAAAAACUUCCGGAAAGGAGAAGGAAAUUGAGUUUGAAUUUUAUGCAUUCUGUUUGUUUGGCAUGGACAAACUGGACAAUUAAAGAAAAAAGUUGGAAAUCCUGGAUCAGUUCAAUUAAUAUAACCAGAAUAGAAUUCUGGAUGGGAUCUGUCAUGUGGCUGUUGGCCUUGUUCUUGGAGCUUAAAGUGGACUGUUUAACAUGUAAAUUCGUGGAUGCAUAACAAAACUGGGCUCACAGGAUAUGAAAGUAACAUCGACUUUAUGUUGUCUCUAUAUACAGACUGAAUAUAUUUGUGUCUGCAACAGUAGUUUUAUACAUAAUUGUAUUCUUGUUUCGCAGCAAUUCUGGAUAGCGCAGACAUCUACUAAAUUAAGCUCUAUUGCACUGCA
Molecule: long non-coding RNA, 456 nt
Organism: Diospyros lotus (date-plum)
Lineage: Eukaryota; Viridiplantae; Streptophyta; Magnoliopsida; Ericales; Ebenaceae
Exons: 2
Source: RefSeq, a predicted model, not a curated record